Molecule: ribosomal RNA, 497 nt
Filed under: uncultured bacterium
Lineage: Bacteria
Description: partial 16S ribosomal RNA
Rfam family: Bacterial small subunit ribosomal RNA
Source: RNAcentral
GAUGAACGCUGGCGGCGUGCCUAAUACAUGCAAGUCGAGCGAACAGACGAGGAGCUUGCUCCUCUGACGUUAGCGGCGGACGGGUGAGUAACACGUGGAUAACCUACUUAUAAGACUGGGAUAACUUCGGGAAACCGGAGCUAAUACCGGAUAAUAUAUUGAACCGCAUGGUUCAAUAGUGAAAGACGGUUUUGCUGUCACUUAUAGAUGGAUCCGCGCCGCAUUAGCUAGUUGGUAAGGUAACGGCGUACCAAGGCAACGAUGCGUAGCCGACCUGAGAGGAUGAUCGGCCACACUGGAACUGAGACACGGUCCAGACUCCUACGGGAGGCAGCAGUAGGGAAUCUUCCGCAAUGGGCGAAAGCCUGACGGAGCAACGCCGCGUGAGUGAUGAAGGUCUUCGGAUCGUAAAACUCUGUUAUUAGGGAAGAACAAAUGUGUAAGUAACUAUGCACGUCUUGACGGUACCUAAUCAGAAAGCCACGGCUAACUACGUG